GGAGGAGGAAGAGGACACAGAGGCCCUGUAGCCAGGCACCAAGAUCCCUCCCAGGUGGCUGAGUCUGAGGGGAACUCCGAGCAGCCCUAGGUCCUCAAAGUCUGGAUUUGUGUGGAAAAGGCAGCUCUCACUUGGCCUUGGCGAGGCCUCGGUUGGUUGAUAACCUGAGGACAAUGGAUGCUGAUGAGGGUCAAGACAUGUCCCAAGUUUCAGGGAAGGAAAGCCCCCCUGUAAGCGAUACUCCAGAUGAGGGCGAUGAGCCCAUGCCGAUCCCCGAGGACCUCUCCACCACCUCGGGAGGACAGCAAAGCUCCAAGAGUGACAGAGUUGUGGUUACAUAUGGGGCUGAUGACUUUAGGGAUUUCCAUGCAAUAAUUCCCAAAUCUUUCUCUCUGUUGGAAUUGUGACUAUCCUCCUCACACAAGCGGCUACUUGGUCUUGAUGCCUUCCCCCGCAAAACAGCAACCAAACUGUUCUGGGCCAAUAUCACCACCUUGUGGUCAUGAUGAAGAAUUGCCCUCUUUGCCCUCAACACCUCGUCUUGAAAAUUAGAAACAACUCCUUUCACCCCCUCUACUGUCCUUAUUCCAGUUUGUAUCCCUAGUUGCUGGAGGAAAGAAAAUGCCUAUUGCUCUUUUUUAUUCUCUUUAUCUUUUUACUUUUCUGCCUUUCUUUUCUCUCCCUGACUUCAUUCCAUUUAAAGGC
RNAcentral lists this small RNA (705 nucleotides) under Pongo abelii (Sumatran orangutan). RNAcentral describes it as "processed transcript". The record is from RNAcentral. Lineage: Eukaryota; Metazoa; Chordata; Mammalia; Primates; Hominidae.